UUAAAUUGAAGAGUUUGAUCAUGGCUCAGAUUGAACGCUGGCGGCAGGCCUAACACAUGCAAGUCGAACGGUAGCACAGAGAGCUUGCUCUCGGGUGACGAGUGGCGGACGGGUGAGUAAUGUCUGGGAAACUGCCUGAUGGAGGGGGAUAACUACUGGAAACGGUGGCUAAUACCGCAUAAUGUCGCAAGACCAAAGAGGGGGACCUUCGGGCCUCUUGCCAUCAGAUGUGCCCAGAUGGGAUUAGCUAGUUGGUGAGGUAACGGCUCACCAAGGCGACGAUCCCUAGCUGGUCUGAGAGGAUGACCAG
RNAcentral lists this ribosomal RNA (310 nucleotides) under Salmonella enterica. RNAcentral describes it as "bacterial SSU rRNA". It matches the Rfam family "Bacterial small subunit ribosomal RNA", at positions 1 to 307 of the family's 1533-position model. Lineage: Bacteria; Pseudomonadati; Pseudomonadota; Gammaproteobacteria; Enterobacterales; Enterobacteriaceae. The record is from RNAcentral.